AAAUCAUUUUAAUCUCUUAGGAAUAUUUUUGGUCAUUGGAUAAGCUUCAGACCAUCCAAAUUUGCUCGAAAAAUCCUCAUUUUAAUCCAAAUCAACGUCGGAUCGAAUGUUAGCUGUUGGAUCUGGGUUCUGAUGAAGUUCUGACAGUUGGAUCGCGCAAAAGAUCUCCUAUUCAAAGUCGAAAAUAUCCUCAGCCAUC
Molecule: long non-coding RNA, 199 nt
Filed under: Elaeis guineensis (African oil palm)
Lineage: Eukaryota; Viridiplantae; Streptophyta; Magnoliopsida; Arecales; Arecaceae
Description: long non-coding RNA (EGUI_LNC036255)
Source: RNAcentral